CUCCAUACUACUACCACUCACCACCUCCUCCAGUGAAAUCACCACCCCCACCUUAUUAUUACUCAUCCCCACCACCACCAAAGUCUUACCCUCCACCAUACUACUACUCAUCUCCACCACCACCACCAAAGUCGUACUCGCCACCGUACUACUACUCAUCGCCACCACCUCCGAUGUCAUACCCUCAACCUCACCCACAGCCACAGCCACAUCCACAUCCACUUGUCUUCAAAGUUGUUGGUAAAGUGUAUUGUUACAGAUGUUAUGACUGGACUUAUCCCAAAAAGUCCCACGAUAAGAAGCAUCUCAAAGGUAACUAUGUCUUCCACGUGUUCAAUAAUUUAAUGUUUUAAUCUUAGCUAACUUAAUUACAGAAAAUAUGAUCCUGAUGAUUAUAGAAUGAUUAAAGGCUUAUAGGAUUUAAAUAAACUAGCAUAUAUGUAUUGUGAAGUGGUAGUUGCAAGUCUGGAUUAUUUAUUUAGUGGAGAAAAGAAAACGAUCAAGUCAAGAAAAAAAACAAAAAUCUGUUUUGACUAAAACAAUCGAGAGAGAUAGAACAAGCGAAAUCGAUUUAAAUGACAUAAAAUGAUAGUUUAAAUUUAAAUAAUUUGUUUUGUCAUAUAGGUGCUGUGGUAGAAGUGACGUGCAAGGCCGGUGACAAGACAGUGAAGGCAUACGGGAAGACCAAAAUCAACGGUAAAUACGCAAUAACCGUUAAGGGAUACAACUACCGUAAAUACGGUGGCGAAGUCUGCACGGCCAAACUCCACUCGCCACCUAAGGGAUCGCCGUGUAACAUUCCUACAAGUUACCAUUUGGGUAACAAAGGUGCUAAACUCCAUGUGAAAUCAAAGACAAAGUACGAGGUUGUGCUCUAUGCUAAGUCCUUUGCUUAUGCACCUAAGAAACCUUACGGAGAAUGCCACAAGCCGGCUCCUUACCAUCCUCCUUACUACUACAAGUCUCCACCACCACCUUCUCCGGUUUACUACUACAAGUCUCCACCACCACCAACUCCAACUUAUGUCUAUAAAUCACCGCCUCCACCAACCCCAGCGUAUGUCUACAAAUCGCCUCCUCCUCCUACCCCAACAUACGUCUAUAAAUCUCCUCCACCACCAACUCCGACUUACGUCUACAAAUCACCACCACCGCCUACUCCAACGUAUGUGUAUAAGUCUCCGCCUCCACCAACCCCUACGUAUGUCUACAAGUCGCCCCCACCACCAACUCCAACCUAUGUUUACAAAUCACCGCCUCCUCCUACUCCGACCUACGUCUACAAGUCGCCGCCUCCUCCUACCCCAACUUAUGUUUACAAGUCGCCACCACCUCCAACACACACUCCUACACCAUACUACUACCAUUCUCCACCACCACCAGUUAAAUCUCCUCCACCUCCAUAUUAUUACCAUUCGCCACCACCACCCGUAAAAUCUCCACCACCGCCAUAUUAUUAUCAUUCACCACCCCCUCCGGUGAAAUCUCCUCCUCCUCCUUACUACUACCACUCUCCACCCCCUCCGGUGAAGUCUCCUCCUCCACCUUACUACUACCAGUCACCACCCCCUCCCGUAAAGUCACCACCACCACCAUAUUAUUACCAUUCACCACCUCCUCCGGUCAAAUCUCCUCCUCCACCCUACUAUUACCAUUCACCUCCUCCACCGAUGAAAUCUCCACCACCACCAUACUACUACCACUCACCACCUCCUCCAGUCAAAUCUCCUCCUCCACCGUACUAUUACCAUUCACCUCCUCCACCGGUGAAAUCUCCACCACCACCAUACUACUACCAUUCACCACCUCCUCCUGUCAAAUUUCCUCCACCAUACUAUUACCACUCACCACCCCCACCGGUCAAAUCCCCUCCACCACCUUACUAUUACCAUUCACCACCCCCACCGGUCAAAUCUCCUCCUCCACCAUACUACUACCACUCACCACCUCCUCCGGUGAAGUCUCCGCCACCGCCAUACCAUUACAACUCUCCACCACCAGUAAAAUCUCCCCCACCUCCAGUAUACAUCUACGCCUCUCCUCCACCUCCUACCCAUUACUAGGCUCAUCAAAUUCAGCCACAUUCCCCCAUUAUUCAAGUAAAGACCCAACGCUUCAACAUUUUCAAUAUGCUCCAUAUCCAUAUCGAUAGAACUUUGUCUCAUUAUCUCAAUUUCUUCUUCG
Molecule: long non-coding RNA, 2184 nt
Filed under: Brassica napus (rape)
Lineage: Eukaryota; Viridiplantae; Streptophyta; Magnoliopsida; Brassicales; Brassicaceae
Description: long non-coding RNA (BNAP_LNC013102)
Source: RNAcentral